AUAAGCGCAUACGGUGGAUGCCUUGGCGGCAAGAGGCGAUGAAGGACGUAGUAGCCUGCGAUAAGCUUCGGGGAGCCGGCAAACAGGCUUUGAUCCGGAGAUUUCCGAAUGGGGAAACCCGACCCGCUUGCGGGUCAUCUGUACCUGAAUCCAUAGGGUACAGAGGCGAACCCGGGGAACUGAAACAUCUAAGUACCCGGAGGAAAAGAAAUCAACCGAGAUUCCGCUAGUAGCGGCGAGCGAACGCGGAUCAGCCCAGUCACAUCAAGCCUGUCAUGUAUAGUUGAACGGUCUGGAAAGUCCGGCCAUAGACGGUGAUAGCCCGGUAAACGAAAUGUGUGGCAGGUGGGUGACGAAGAGUAGGACGGGACACGUGUUAUCUUGUCUGAAUAUGGGGGGACCAUCCUCCAAGGCUAAAUACUCCUUGCCGACCGAUAGUGAACCAGUACCGUGAGGGAAAGGCGAAAAGAACCCCGGAGAGGGGAGUGAAAUAGAACCUGAAACCGCAUGCGUACAAGCAGUGGGAGCCCCGCACCUAAAUUGUUUUGCAAUUGAGUGCGAGGCAGAGGACAGAAGGCAGACCUUAAUGAGCGCCGUUUUACGGCGCGCUAUAGAAGUGCGGUGAAGCCGCACCUUUAAGUCAGUCCUCAGUUUUCUGCCGCACCUAAAUGGCGGAGCCAUUUAGGUGCGGGGUGACCGCGUACCUUUUGUAUCAUGGGUCAGCGAGUUACUUUCAGUGGCAAGCUUAACCGCAUAGGGGAGGCGUAGCGAAAGCGAGUCUUAAAAGGGCGUUUAGUCGCUGGGAGUAGACCCGAAACCGGACGAUCUAUCCAUGGCCAGGGUGAAGGUAGGGUAAAACCUACUGGAGGCCCGAACCAACUGAUGUUGCAAAAUCACUGGAUGAGCUGUGGAUAGGAGUGAAAGGCUAACCAAGUCCGGAGAUAGCUGGUUCUCCUCGAAAGCUAUUUAGGUAGCGCCUCGUGUCUCACUCUCGGGGGUAGAGCACUGUUAUGGCUAGGGCUGCAUCUCGCGGUACCAAACCAUUGCAAACUCCGAAUACCGAGAAGUGCAAUCACGGGAGACACACAGCGGGUGCUAACGUCCGUUGUGGAAAGGGAAACAACCCAGACCGCCAGCUAAGGUCCCCAAAUUACAGCUUAGUGGGAAACGAUGUAGGAAGGCUUAAACAGCCAGGAGGUUGGCUUAGAAGCAGCCACCCUUUAAAGAAAGCGUAAUAGCUCACUGGUCGAGUCAGCCUGCGCGGAAGAUUCAACGGGGCUCAAGCUGUAUACCGAAGCUGCGGGUGUGUAUGGUCCUUCGGGGCCAUGCACGCGGUAGAGGAGCGUUCCGUACGCCUGCGAAGGUGUGUUGAAAGGCAUGCUGGAGGUAUCGGAAGCGAGAAUGCUGACAUGAGUAACGUUAAUGGAGGUGAAAAACCUCCACGCCGAAAGCCCAAGGUUUCCUGCGCCACGUUAAUCGACGCAGGGUGAGUCGGCACCUAAGGCGAGGCCGAAAGGCGUAGUCGAUGGACAACAGGUUAAUAUUCCUGUACCUCAUAUUACUGCGAUGGGGGGACGGAGAAGGGUAGACAAAGCCAGCCGGGUGUUGGAUGUCCCGGUCUAAGCGCGUAGGGAGUGUUCUUAGGUAAAUCCGGGAGCACAAUCCUGAGACGUUAUGGGGAGUUCCUUUUUGGAGCGAACUGGCCGAUCCCAUGCUUCCAAGAAAAGCCUCUAAGCUUCAGGUAAUGUGAGACCGUACCCCAAACCGACACUGGUGGGCAGGGUGAGAAUCCCAAGGCGCUUGAGUGAACUCGGGUUAAGGAACUCGGCAAAUUGGCACCGUAACUUCGGAAGAAGGUGCGCCCUUGGUAGGUGAAGGACCUCGCGUCCGGAGCCGAAGGGGGCCGCAGUGACCAGGUAGCCGCGACUGUUUACCAAAAACACAGCACUCUGCAAACUCGCAAGAGGAAGUAUAGGGUGUGACGCCUGCCCGGUGCCGGAAGGUUAAGUGAUGGGGUUAGCCCUCGGGCGAAGCUCUUGAUCGAAGCCCCGGUGAACGGCGGCCGUAACUAUAACGGUCCUAAGGUAGCGAAAUUCCUUGUCGGGUAAGUUCCGACCUGCACGAAUGGCGUAACGAUGGCUACACUGUCUCAACCCGAGACUCAGUGAAGUUGAAAUCGCUGUGAAGAUGCAGCGUACCCGCCGCAAGACGGAAAGACCCCGUGCACCUUUACUAUAACUUCACACUGAACUUUGAACACGUUUGUGUAGGAUAGGUGGGAGGCUUUGAAGCGGGAACGCCAGUUCCCGUGGAGCCGUCCUUGAAAUACCACCCUGGCCUGUUUGAGGUUCUAACCGUGGCCCGUUAUCCGGGUCCGGGACCGUGUGUGGUGGGUAGUUUGACUGGGGCGGUCUCCUCCCAAAGAGUAACGGAGGAGUGCGAAGGUACCCUCAGCGCGGUCGGAAAUCGCGCAUAGAGUGCAAAGGCAUAAGGGUGCUUAACUGCGAGACAGACAAGUCGAGCAGGUGCGAAAGCAGGUCUUAGUGAUCCGGUGGUUCUGUAUGGAAGGGCCAUCGCUCAACGGAUAAAAGGUACGCCGGGGAUAACAGGCUAAUACCGCCCAAGAGUUCAUAUCGACGGCGGUGUUUGGCACCUCGAUGUCGGCUCAUCACAUCCUGGGGCUGAAGCCGGUCCCAAGGGUAUGGCUGUUCGCCAUUUAAAGUGGUACGCGAGCUGGGUUUAGAACGUCGUGAGACAGUUCGGUCCCUAUCUGCCGUGGGCGUUGGAAAUUUGAGAAGAGCUGCUCCUAGUACGAGAGGACCGGAGUGGACGUAUCUCUGGUGUUCCGGUUGUCACGCCAGUGGCAUUGCCGGGUAGCUAUAUACGGACAGGAUAACCGCUGAAAGCAUCUAAGCGGGAAGCCCCCUUCAAGAUUAGAUUUCCCUGGACCCUUGAGGUCCCUGAAGAGCCGUUGAAGACUACAACGUUGAUAGGCUGGGUGUGGAAGCGCAGUAAUGCGUGAAGCUAACCAGUACUAAUUGCUCGUGCGGCUUGGCC
Molecule: ribosomal RNA, 3057 nt
Filed under: marine sediment metagenome
Description: bacterial LSU rRNA
Rfam family: Bacterial large subunit ribosomal RNA
Source: RNAcentral